This 446-nucleotide ribosomal RNA is filed under the name uncultured bacterium. Its description in RNAcentral is "partial 16S ribosomal RNA". It matches the Rfam family "Bacterial small subunit ribosomal RNA", at positions 29 to 523 of the family's 1533-position model. The record is from RNAcentral.
AACGAACGCUGGCGGCAGGCUUAACACAUGCAAGUCGAACGCCCCGCAAGGGGAGUGGCGCACGGGUGAGUAAUACAUGGGAACGUGCCUUUCAGUCCAGGAUAACGUCGGGAAACUGACGCUAAUACUGGAUAUUCUCUACGGAGGAAAGAUUUAUCGCUGAAAGAUCGGCCCAUGCCAGAUUAGCUAGUUGGUGAGGUAAUGGCUCACCAAGGCUACGAUCUGUAGCGGGUCUGAGAGGACGAUCCGCCAAACUGGUACUGAGACAGGGACCGGACUCCUACGGGAGCCAGCGGUGGGAAAUAUGGAACAAUGGGGAAACCCCGAAUCCGCCAUGGCGGGGGAGGUAUUGAGGGCCUUAGGUUUGAAAGCCUCUUUUUUAGGGGAAAAUAUGAACGGAACCUGAGAAAAAGGCCCCGCUAACUUCGUGCCAGCAGCCGCCGUAA